Molecule: long non-coding RNA, 2098 nt
Organism: Erinaceus europaeus (western European hedgehog)
Lineage: Eukaryota; Metazoa; Chordata; Mammalia; Eulipotyphla; Erinaceidae
Exons: 2
Source: RefSeq, a predicted model, not a curated record
GUUUUUGGUCUUUCUUUUAUUGAUGUAGUGGAUCACAUUGAUUGAUUUACAUAUAUUAAACCAACCUUGUACUCCUGGGAUAAACCCCACUUGAUCAUGAUGAACAAUCUUUUAAUAUACUGCUGUAUCUGGUUGGCUAGAAUUUUAUUCAAUAUUUUAGCAUCUAUGUUCAUCAGAGAUAUUGGUCUGUAGUUUUUUUGGUUGUGUCCCUGUCUGUUUUUGGUAUCAGAGUGAUAUUGGUGUCAUAGAAGCUAGAAGGGAGUAUUCCUGUGUCUUGAGUCUUCUGGAAGGACUUUUAUUCUUGGGAAGGUUUUUGACAACUGUUUCAGUUUUGUUGGCUGUGAUUGGCCUGUUCAUAUUAUCUAGUUCCUCUUUAUUUACAAAAUUACAUGUCAGCAGGGUAUAAUUCCAUACCAUCCCCACUACCAGAUUUCUGAAUCCCCAAUCCCUCUAUUGUGGCUGAAAGAUGGCAAGAUCUAAAGUGGGACAAAAUGAUUAAUGAAUAAGAACCAAAGUAGGAACAGAGUAGAUGAGAAUAGGGAUCUUGGGGUGGAAGGAACCUAGGAAGUCCAUUUAAGGCAUGUUUCUGAGGGGCUCACAAGUAUUGUAGUAUAUAUAUAUAUUUUUUCUUUUGCUUGAUAGCUAACAUGGAGUUGGACAAAAAUAUUGUCUGAGAAGAUGGUGUCAGAGUAAAGAAAAGGCUAGAAAAGUUGGAUUAGAGCAGAGAGUAGCUCCCAUCCUUGGAAAAAAAAAUCUGUGAGUAAAAUUAACUGUUUACUUCAUCCGCUUGACCUAAGGGCAUAUAUAUAGCAUAAGAGCCUGUGUAACCUCUAAGUCCCUACUAAUCUGAGCUCACAGUUCAUGGUCACAGCUGGGAAAAUUGCAGGCUGCAUAUAACUAUGCUAACUUUAAAAGAAUAAGGACAGGAAGAAUUCUCAUAAUUAAGUAUUAAUUAUUCUGAAAACCCAACUGCUAGAAUAAUGUUCUAUGCUCAUAUGAAAUUCAGUAUUGGACUAGAGGACCUUGUAGGUAUCAUUUAAAAUUCAAAAAUGAUGGGCUUGCCUACAGAAAUUAAGGAAGACAAUGACACAGUCUGCUGGUUUUUGCAGCCAUUAUUAUUAUUAUUAUUUUUUACCUUCAAAGCUUGUCUACACUUUCUUUAUUGUAAUUCAAAUCCAUUGUCCCUGAUUUUAAUUUCCUAGAAUGAGAUGAGUUCCUGUCUUUGUUCUCACCCUUAGAAAUGGACUUACUGAAAGCAGUCUUGUGUUACAUGGUUAUUUUAAAACUUCAUACAUAUUCUAGUUGCUUUAGUCUUUACUUUCACCAACAUCUCUUUGGUUCUUUAAUUACUUGUAUUCAUACACUACUAUAUUUGCUUUUUGGACUCCAAGACAUUCAUAACAGAAUGCAGUGUUUGAGAGUACAUUUCAAGUGAGCUAUUUCAUGGAAAGCAAACAUACAUUCAUUUCCCUCAAAGACAUACAUUCAUUUCCCUAUGAAUAAAUAUUAAGAGACAUACCCAGCACUAUACUAAGUGAUAUGGAAUAAAAAUUAGAGUCAUGGUCCCUGACUUCAAUGAGCUUAUAGUCAUGGCCACAGCUGGACAUCAUGCACACCAUUUUAUUAAUUAAUUAAUUUCCAGAGCACUGCUCAGCUCUGAUUUAUGGUGGUUGUGGAGAUUAAACCUAUGAGCUCAGAAACUCAGAUAUGAAAGCCUUUUGUGUAAGCAUUAUGCUGUUUUCCCAGCCCUGUGCACACAACUCCGAACCACUGAAUGCAUAUUUCAGAUACAAAGUACAAAUACAUUUUGUACCUUUGGUAUCUUUUGAACUCUUUAGGAGCAAUCCAUUUUAGGGUAUUUUCAAUAAUAUUUACUUCAUGAGGAAGAUAGGAAACAAGGGAGACAGAGAGAUCUGAGUACUGCUCUGGUAUAUAAAGUGUCAGGAUUGAAACCCCAGAUUUCAUUCAUGCAAGUCUGCCUUACCUGUUGAACCACCGUUCUAGCCAUAGGAGUAAUCAAUUUGGAACAGAAACUUGUGCUCUCUAAAUUGUAUUUCUCUGCAAUCCCCAAAUAAACAAAAUUUUGACUUUCAGCUAA